GAAUAUUGGACAAUGGGCGCAAGCCUGAUCCAGCCAUACCGCGUGAGUGAAGAAGGCCUUCGGGUUGUAAAGCUCUUUUGUUGGGAAAGAAAUCCUGUCGGUUAAUACCCGGUAGGGAUGACGGUACUCAAAGAAUAAGCACCGGCUAACUUCGUGCCAGCAGCCGCGGUAAUACGAAGGGUGCAAGCGUUACUCGGAAUUACUGGGCGUAAAGCGUGCGUAGGUGGUUUGUUAAGUCUGAUGUGAAAGCCCCGGGCUCAACCUGGGAAUUGCAUUGGAUACUGGCAGGCUAGAGUGCGGUAGAGGGUAGUGGAAUUCCCGGUGUAGCAGUGAAAUGCGUAGAGAUCGGGAGGAACAUCUGUGGCGAAGGCGACUGCCUGGACCAGCACUGACACUGAGGCACGAAAGCGUGGGGAGCAAACAG
RNAcentral lists this ribosomal RNA (424 nucleotides) under uncultured bacterium. RNAcentral's name for it is "bacterial SSU rRNA". It matches the Rfam family "Bacterial small subunit ribosomal RNA", at positions 359 to 775 of the family's 1533-position model. The record is from RNAcentral.